Molecule: ribosomal RNA, 373 nt
Filed under: Pieris brassicae (large cabbage white)
Lineage: Eukaryota; Metazoa; Arthropoda; Insecta; Lepidoptera; Pieridae
Description: partial 16S ribosomal RNA
Source: RNAcentral
CUUUAUUAAUAAUAGAAAUUAAUUUUUUAGUUAAAAAGCUAAAAUUUAUUUAAAAGACGAGAAGACCCUAUAGAGUUUUAUAUUUAAAUUUAUAUUAAUUUUUUAUAAAAUUUAUAUUUAAUAUUUUUUUAAUUAUUUUAUUGGGGUGAUAGAAAAAUUUAUUAAACUUUUUUUAAAAUUUUUACAUUAAUAUAUGAAAUUUUGAUCCAUAAUUUAUGAUUAAAAGAUUAAAUUACCUUAGGGAUAACAGCGUAAUUUUUUUUUUUAGUUCUUAUAAGAAAAAAAGUUUGCGACCUCGAUGUUGGAUUAAGAUAAAAUUUAAAUGCAAAAGUUUAAAAUUUUGAUCUGUUCGAUCAUUAAAAUCUUACGUGAU